Molecule: ribosomal RNA, 428 nt
Filed under: uncultured bacterium
Lineage: Bacteria
Description: bacterial SSU rRNA
Rfam family: Bacterial small subunit ribosomal RNA
Source: RNAcentral
UGGGGAAUUUUGGACAAUGGGCGCAAGCCUGAUCCAGCCAUUCCGCGUGAGUGAAGAAGGCCUUCGGGUUGUAAAGCUCUUUCGCAAGGGAAGAAAACUUAGGCUCUAACAUAGCCUGAGGUUGACGGUACCUUGAUAAGAAGCACCGGCUAACUACGUGCCAGCAGCCGCGGUAAUACGUAGGGUGCGAGCGUUAAUCGGAAUUACUGGGCGUAAAGCGUGCGCAGGCGGUUUUGUAAGUCAGAUGUGAAAUCCCGGAGCUCAACUUGGGAGCUGCGUUUGAAACUACGAGACUAGAAUAUGUCAGAGGGGGGUAGAAUUCCACGUGUAGCAGUGAAAUGCGUAGAGAUGUGGAGGAAUACCAAUGGCGAAGGCAGCCCCCUGGGAUAAUAUUGACGCUCAUGCACGAAAGCGUGGGGAGCAAACAG